RNAcentral lists this ribosomal RNA (888 nucleotides) under Triticum aestivum (bread wheat). Its description in RNAcentral is "partial small subunit ribosomal RNA". Lineage: Eukaryota; Viridiplantae; Streptophyta; Magnoliopsida; Poales; Poaceae. The record is from RNAcentral.
AUGACGGCAAUGAGCUCCCAUGCAGGGCUCUCCUUUGACGAUUUUUGCCUCAAACCACUGAUCUCUGAAUCGUACCUGCUUGAGUCGUCGCCGGCCACCGCCAAUCCCGAGCAAGUCGUCGUCGCCACCGCGGUGGAUAAGGCCUGGUGGCACAACGCCUUGCGCCGCCGCGCCCGUCCGCCGGCUCCCAAAUCCAGUGCUCGCCCUCUAAUCCAGACGAGCCCCGAACCCCUGCCCCCCUACUGUUACCCAGUUGCAGGAAUGACUGUCUUGAAACAACAGCCCACUAAUCCCACGAUCCACCCCUGUCAUCCGUCCCCCCGGCUCGAAGAAAAAAAAAACCCACGAGAGCACCACGCUCUCCCGUCGGUUGCUCAUAUCCUCCUCCCGCAUGACCUCUCGCCCCCUCCUCCUCCUCCUCCCGCCUCCUGCCUCUCCCUCCUCCGCUCCCUCCCGCUCCGCCUCCGCCUUGCCAUUCCCCGCCCCCGCCUCCCCACCCUCCUCUCCCUCGCCCUCCCCGGCAAAAACGGCAACGACGGCGGCGGUGGCAACAACAGCGGCGGCGGCGGGGAUGACGAAACAGGGGACGGCGGCGGCGAGUGGGGCGGCCACCGGGGGGAUGCGCUGUUCGUGCUGCCGCAGGCGGGGAGGAAGCUCUCCAGCCUGCCGGCGGACCUCGCCGUGGCCGUGGAGGGCGGCCGCGUCACGGGCGACAUCGUGCGGCGCUUCGCGGAGAUGGAGCGCUCGCCGCUGCUCCGUUGGCUGCUGGGCUUCAGAUGGUUCAGGGAGCGCCUCCUCGCCGACGACCUCUUCCUCGCCAAGCUCGCCAUGGAGAUGGGCGUCGGCAUGAUCGCCAAGGUCCGUGGGAUCGACAUGGAUGAAUCAUGA